GAGGGUGGCAUUUCCAGCGUGGUCCUACCUGAUCCCAUUCCGAACUCAGAAGUAAAACACGCACGGGCCGAUGAUACUCCGGUGCAUACCGGCGGGAAAGUAGGUGGCUGCCCGAU
This 116-nucleotide ribosomal RNA is filed under the name Candidatus Doudnaibacteriota bacterium. Lineage: Bacteria; Candidatus Doudnaibacteriota. The record is from RNAcentral.